Molecule: ribosomal RNA, 245 nt
Filed under: uncultured bacterium
Lineage: Bacteria
Description: partial 16S ribosomal RNA
Rfam family: Bacterial small subunit ribosomal RNA
Source: RNAcentral
GCAAGUCGAACGCGAAAGCACCUUCGGGUGCGAGUAGAGUGGCGGACGGGUGAGUAACGCGUGGGAACCUACCCAGUAGUGGGGGACAACCCGGGGAAACCCGGGCUAAUACCGCAUACGCCCUACGGGGGAAAGCGGGGGAUCUUCGGACCUCGCGCUAUUGGAUGGGCCCGCGUCCGAUUAGCUAGUUGGUGAGGUAAGAGCUCACCAAGGCGACGAUCGGUAGCUGGUCUGAGAGGAUGAUC